GAGACGGCAGCCACAGGGAACCUUCAGGGAGAGACCCAUGCUGACAUCCAGCCAGGCUGAGGGCAGAACCCAGGGAGCCCAGCGGAACCUCUGCAGCAGAGCCCCGCCAGGGGGCCCAGACCUCACCAUGCUCCAGCCCGCACUUCUCCUGGGUGUCGUCUCUGAUCUUCGCGAUGUCCUCUGCUGGCUUCUACGAGGUCGGCACCGACCCCACAGACAGCUCGAUGGGCUUCAUUGGGCGACUCAGUGCAUCCUGAGUGAUGCACACCUUUUGAAGGACCUGAGAGUGUGGUUGUGCCAACAGAUGCCCAUCUGUGUUGCUCAGGAUCAGCCUAGGUGAAGGGAAGAUUCUGGAGUAGGACCUGGACUAGAGCAGGUGAUAAGGUGUUCUACCUGCCCACUUCAUCUUGGAGGACAAACAUGAGCCUUGUGUAGAGCUGGCCCAUUGGCUGCUGUUCCUUAUGGAACAAGGACCAGGAAACUGGUCCAUAGGAUGUUACAUGCUACAUGCUGCGGAUGCAAUGCAAUGGUAUUGGUCCAUGGUUGCCUGAAUUCUGCUGGUGCAAGGCCACUGGAACUGGCCCAUGAGAUGCUGAAGUCUGAGGGACAAGGACAAGGCUGAUGGGAUGCUGAAUUCUUAAGGACAAGGACAAUGGAAUCAGCCCAUGGGAUGCUGUAUUCUGCUGGUACAAGGGCAAUGGAACCUGUCUGUAUUAGUCACUUUUCUCGUUGCCUGACCACAAUACCCAACACCCACAGCUUAAAGGAAGAGUUUAUUUGGGCUCACAUUUACAUUCCAUGGUCAACUCCAAGUUCAAGGCAGAAUUGGCAUGGCAGAAAGGCAGCAGAGAAAGUGUUGCUUACAGAAUGGUGGUCAGGAAACAGUGAAGGGAGGAUCUGAGGAGGGAGACAUACCCACCCCCUGUGAACUUACCAGUAGAUUAUUCCAC
Molecule: long non-coding RNA, 950 nt
Organism: Heterocephalus glaber (naked mole-rat)
Lineage: Eukaryota; Metazoa; Chordata; Mammalia; Rodentia; Bathyergidae
Source: Ensembl